GCCGGACAGUAUACACAGGGACAGCUGUUAAGGGUUGAGGGGACGACGGAAAAAUGAAGACAAUACUCUCAUCUGAGACUAUGGACAUACCCGAUGGGGUUAAGAUCAAGAUCAAUGCCAAGGUCAUAGAAGUGGAGGGUCCUCGAGGUAAGCUCACCCGCAACUUCAAGCAUUUGAACCUCGAUUUCCAUCUCAUCAAGGACGAGGCUACCGGAAAACGCAAGCUCAAGAUAGAAGCUUGGUUUGGUUCCAGGAAGACCAGCGCCGCCAUUCGCACUGCCCUCAGUCAUGUUGAGAAUCUCAUCACCGGUGUCACCAAGGGCUAUCGCUACAAGAUGCGAUUUGUCUAUGCUCACUUCCCCAUCAACGCCUCCAUUACUAACUCAAACAGUGCCAUUGAGAUUCGCAACUUCCUUGGCGAGAAAAGGGUCAGGAAAGUUGAUAUGCUUGAAGGUGUAACUGUUGUUCGUUCUGAUAAGGUUAAGGAUGAACUUAUAUUAGAUGGCAAUGACAUUGAACUAGUGUCGCGAUCGGCUGCCUUGAUAAACCAGAAAUGCCAUGUUAAGAACAAAGAUAUCAGGAAAUUCCUUGAUGGUAUCUAUGUCAGUGAGAAAGGGACUGUUGUUGAAGAAGACUGAGGAGACUAGAUUUUGUUUGUUUAUGUUAUCUUUGUUUAUUUUCCCUGGUUAUUAUGAUAUCUUUUUGUUUUAUGUUAUUAUUUCAAAAAUUUUUCUAUCAUAGAACGUUGGAUAUCUAUGAUUUUGGGUUAGUUUAGUUGGAACUGAUACAACUUACUUUCUAAUCGUUUUGUUGUUGGUGUCGAGUGAGAAUUUUUACAGAAAACUUUUAUGCAACUUGACCUUUUUUUGUAUUUUUGUUUCGUUUGCUUGUUUCAUUUUCCUCCACUCAUGACUCAUCCAAUCGAUGAGCAUUUGUUAGAUUCGGGUGCACUUGUGUCUGCUGAAGUGAAUUGACUGAUCUUUCUGAUUUUGAAAAAAAUUUUACCACCUCACUUUCCGUUCCCUAAUAUAUGAACGCAAACCCUGCUAAAAAAAUUCCCCUGUAAUUUAUUCUCAGUGCUGCCCCAGAUUUUAUGCAUCUUGCCCGGUUGGUUUUUUUCAUUUGCA
This 1127-nucleotide unclassified non-coding RNA is filed under the name Hevea brasiliensis (rubber tree). Lineage: Eukaryota; Viridiplantae; Streptophyta; Magnoliopsida; Malpighiales; Euphorbiaceae. The record is from RNAcentral.